Molecule: ribosomal RNA, 253 nt
Filed under: uncultured bacterium
Lineage: Bacteria
Description: partial 16S ribosomal RNA
Rfam family: Bacterial small subunit ribosomal RNA
Source: RNAcentral
UACGGGGGGGGCAAGCGUUGUUCGGAAUUACUGGGCGUAAAGGGCUCGUAGGCGGCCAACUAAGUCGGACGUGAAAUCCCCAGGCUCAACCUGGGAACUGCGUCCGAUACUGGAUGGCUUGAAUCCGGGAGAGGGAUGCAGAAUUCCAGGUGUAGCGGUGAAAUGCGUAGAUAUCGAGAGGAACACCAGUGGCGAAGGCGAGUCCCUGGACAACACCUGACACUGAGGCACGAAAGCCGGGGGAGCAAACAGG